Molecule: ribosomal RNA, 271 nt
Filed under: uncultured bacterium
Lineage: Bacteria
Description: partial 16S ribosomal RNA
Rfam family: Bacterial small subunit ribosomal RNA
Source: RNAcentral
UACGUAGGGUGCAAGCGUUAAUCGGAAUUACUGGGCGUAAAGCGUGCGCAGGCGGUUUUGUAAGUCUGUCGUGAAAUCCCCGGGCUCAACCUGGGAAUUGCGAUGGAGACUGCAAGGCUAGAAUCUGGCAGAGGGGGGGUAGAAUUCCACGUGUGAGCAGUGAAAUGCGUAGAGAUGUGGAGGAACACCGAUGGCGAAGGCAGCCCCCUGGGUCAAGAUUGACGCUCAUGCACGAAAGCGUGGGGAGCAAACGAGGAUACGAAACCCGGGU